Molecule: long non-coding RNA, 492 nt
Organism: Pollicipes pollicipes
Lineage: Eukaryota; Metazoa; Arthropoda; Thecostraca; Pollicipedomorpha; Pollicipedidae
Exons: 2
Source: RefSeq, a predicted model, not a curated record
AAAAGUGCGAGGCUGUCAUCGACCCAAAUCGAGAAGUAUAUCCAAACGGGCUUCAGAACACCAAGCUAUGUACGGCAACAAAACUGUCCGACAGAGAUGUGUGCAAGGGUGACUCUGGCGGUCCAAUGGUGCAUCUCCGCUCCGAUGGUCGGUAUCAGCUGGUCGGAGUCGUUUCGGGAGGGACCGCGACGUAUUGCAAAGUUACCGCAAACUCUCUGAGUAUUUUCAACCGAGUCAGCACAUAUGUGGACUGGGUACACAACAAGAUGAAGUGACACAUACGCGCACGGAACAGGCCGGAACACAGCCGUCAUAAGUCGCUGUUUGCUGGACAAACGCGUGACCAUCGCACCCUCGUGUUUAAGCUUGAGACAGCUGCUGUGCAAGUUUGAGACAGCUUUAUUCCCUUGCAAGGGUGUCGCCAUCAACUUUGAUAGUGGGAAGAGGGCAUGAUGCCGUCACAACGGUGCUUGAAUAAAAGUGGGUGAGAAA